GGAACCGUAGCUCAGCCGGGAUGAGCGUUCGCCUCACACGCGAAAGGUCACGAGUUCGAUCCUCGUCGGUUCCAC
RNAcentral lists this transfer RNA (75 nucleotides) under Fusobacterium naviforme. RNAcentral describes it as "tRNA-Val(cac)". It matches the Rfam family "tRNA". From Rfam's summary of the family: Transfer RNA (tRNA) molecules are approximately 80 nucleotides in length. Their secondary structure includes four short double-helical elements and three loops (D, anti-codon, and T loops). The record is from RNAcentral. Lineage: Bacteria; Fusobacteriati; Fusobacteriota; Fusobacteriia; Fusobacteriales; Fusobacteriaceae.